Molecule: ribosomal RNA, 301 nt
Filed under: uncultured bacterium
Lineage: Bacteria
Description: partial 16S ribosomal RNA
Rfam family: Bacterial small subunit ribosomal RNA
Source: RNAcentral
CAGCAGCCGCGGUAAAACAGAGGGUGCAAGCGUUAAUCGGAAUUACUGGGCGUAAAGGGCGCGUAGGUGGUUGCGUAAGUGAGAUGUGAAAUCCCCGGGCUUAACCUGGGACGUGCAUCUUAUACUGCGUAACUGGAGUGCAAGAGAGGGUAGUGGAAUUUCCGGUGUAGCGGUGAAAUGCGUAGAUAUCGGAAGGAACACCAGUGGCGAAGGCGGCUACCUGGCUUGACACUGACACUGAGGCGCGAAAGCGUGGGGAGCAAACAGGAUUAGAUACCCCCGUAGUCCCUGUCUCUUAUAC